GGGCAUAUAAGGGUGUUGUCUCACAAUACUUCAUCUUUAUGAUGUGCAAGAGUGAUUCCAUCCCAUAUAACUCAGGACUGUAGCUAGAAGUGAAGCUUGCAUUUCGUACUGGGGAAGGAGGCUGGAUGUGCGUGCUCUGAACUGUGAAGUCCACUGGACAUGAAAUGGCAGCAUGAUCUGCAGCCCAUCUCUACAUGUGCUUCAGUCUGGAGAAACAGCUAAUUAUAUAUCUUCUACACUCUACUGUAAUUAUUAUGUCUCCAGAAACAAAAUUUAUGUGCUGUCAUGAAAGAGUCUGUUUAUGCUACUGCAGCCCUUCAGGAAGGAAAAAUGCUCAUGAACCUGGAGAUCCAUGUGAGCAAGGCCAGAAGAUGAGUGGGGCUCUCUGCUGAAGAAAUACAGUUGUGCCUCAUUGCUGCUGUUGCCCUCUGACUAGCAGAAAACGUACUGAGCUCAGGAACAUCCCUGCAAACAGACACUGGUUCUUGCUCUUGCUUGUUCUGCACAGCCCCUGCCUGGGACCUGGUAGGAGUGUGAAGCCAAAUUUCCGUUACAUUAGAAGUGUGGAUCAUGAAAUUUGGUCUGGGACAGGCUGGUGACUGUUCUCAGACAGCAAAAAGCUUUGUUUCAAGGUAUUUAAAAAACAUUUCACAGGGCCAUGGGGAGGAGCAGGGGAAACCUUGCUUGUUCAGCUUUUCUGUCUGAAGCCAAAAACUUCCCUAGGGUUUCAUAAGUUUUGGAUAUGGGGUGCAUAAUGUAACUGAAAGUUUGUACUUUCUGACUAAUAAAGGAUUUCCUCAGAAAAAAACAUUCUAGGUAGCAUUGAAGCACAUGGCAGAAUAUCAUGAAUAUGCUGCAAUAUUUAGGUUUAAGGUGAAAU
Cygnus olor (mute swan) is the source of this 880-nucleotide long non-coding RNA. RefSeq lists it as uncharacterized. The transcript has 3 exons. Lineage: Eukaryota; Metazoa; Chordata; Aves; Anseriformes; Anatidae. The record is from RefSeq and is a predicted model, not a curated record.